CAUUUUUAUUUGAUUUGGUGGACUAUUGGAAUGUAGUCUUUAUGGUGGGGAGAGCUGAGACAGAUGUUGUUAACAUGGCUGUACAUAUGAGGACAGAAGAGACAGGUGGUUUUAACAUGGCUGUACAUAUGAGGACACAAGAGACAGGUGGUUUUAACAUGGCUUUAUGUAUGAGGACAGAAGAGACAGGUGGUUUUAACAUGGCUUUAUGUAUGAGGACAGAGGAGACAGGUGAUUUUAACAUCGCUGUACAUAUGAGGACAGAGGAGACAGGUGGUUUUAACAUGGCUGUACAUAUGAGAACAGAAGAGACAGGUGGUUUUAACAUGGCUUUAUGUAUGAGGACAGAAGAGACAGGUGGUUUUAACAUGGCUUUAUGUAUGAGGACAGAGGAGACAGGUGAUUUUAACAUCGCUGUACAUAUGAGGACAGAGGAGACAGGUGGUUUUAACAUGGCUGUACAUAUGAGAACAGAGGAGACAGGUGGUUUUAACAUGGCUGUACAUAUGAGGACAGAGGAGACAGGUGAUUUUAACAUCGCUGUACAUAUGAGAACAGAGGAAACAGGUGGUUUUAACAUGGCUGUACGUAUUGAGGACAGAGGAGACAGGUGGUUUUAACAUGGCUGUACAUAUGAGGACAGAGGAGACAGGUGGUUUUAACAUGGCUGUACAUAUGAGGACAGAGGAGACAGGUGGUUUUAAAAUGGCUGUAUAUAUGAGGACAGAGGAGACAGGUGGUUUUAACAUGGCUUUAUAUAUGAGGACAGAGGAGACAGGUGGUUUUAAUAUAGCUAUAUAUACGAGGACAGAGGAGACAGGUGGUUUUAACAUGGCUGUACAUAUGAGGACAGAGGAGACAGGUGGUUUUAACAUGGCUGGACAUUUUGAGGACAGAGGAG
This is a long non-coding RNA of Esox lucius (northern pike), 901 nucleotides long. The record is from Ensembl. NCBI's taxonomy places the organism in Eukaryota, Metazoa, Chordata, Actinopteri, Esociformes, Esocidae.